GUUCUUUAAGAGACAUUCGAUAAAAUUGGAACGAUACAGAAAAGAUUAGCAUGGCCCUUGAGCAAAGAUGACAUGCAUAAAUCGAAAAAUGGUCCAAAUUUUU
Prunus dulcis (almond) is the source of this 103-nucleotide small nuclear RNA. Lineage: Eukaryota; Viridiplantae; Streptophyta; Magnoliopsida; Rosales; Rosaceae. The record is from RefSeq and is a predicted model, not a curated record.